Molecule: ribosomal RNA, 720 nt
Filed under: Aureobasidium pullulans
Lineage: Eukaryota; Fungi; Ascomycota; Dothideomycetes; Dothideales; Saccotheciaceae
Description: eukaryotic LSU rRNA
Rfam family: Eukaryotic large subunit ribosomal RNA (bases 463-720)
Source: RNAcentral
CCCUUUGUUGUUAAAACUACCUUGUUGCUUUGGCGGGACCGCUCGGUUCCGAGCCGCUGGGGAUUCGUCCCAGGCGAGUGCCCGCCAGAGUUAAACCAAACUCUUGUUAUUAAACCGGUCGUCUGAGUUAAAAUUUUGAAUAAAUCAAAACUUUCAACAACGGAUCUCUUGGUUCUCGCAUCGAUGAAGAACGCAGCGAAAUGCGAUAAGUAAUGUGAAUUGCAGAAUUCAGUGAAUCAUCGAAUCUUUGAACGCACAUUGCGCCCCUUGGUAUUCCGAGGGGCAUGCCUGUUCGAGCGUCAUUACACCACUCAAGCUAUGCUUGGUAUUGGGUGCCGUCCUUAGUUGGGCGCGCCUUAAAGACCUCGGCGAGGCCACUCCGGCUUUAGGCGUAGUAGAAUUUAUUCGAACGUCUGUCAAAGGAGAGGAACUCUGCCGAUUGAAACCUUUAUUUUUCCAGGUUGACCUCGGAUCAGGUAGGGAUACCCGCUGAACUUAAGCAUAUCAAUAAGCGGAGGAAAAGAAACCAACAGGGAUUGCCCUAGUAACGGCGAGUGAAGCGGCAACAGCUCAAAUUUGAAAGCUAGCCUUCGGGUUCGCAUUGUAAUUUGUAGAGGAUGCUUUGGGUAAAACGCCAGUCUAAGUUCCUUGGAACAGGACGUCAUAGAGGGUGAGAAUCCCGUAUGUGACUGGAAAUGUUAACCUAUGUAAAGCUCCUUC